CACUAAAGAUUUUGGAUCUGAGAAGAGUAGACGAUGAGUCCGGCCAAGAAGUCAAUAUGACAUGGACACCAGACCCAACUUCAAUUCAAGACAGCUAUAAGAUUUUGUACCAGGAGGUAGAAGCUUUUAACGGAGAUGCACGCACUAGGACAACCACAGAAGAAAAGGCCACAGAAAGUCUUUAUCCUGGAAGAAAUUACUCAGUUUCUGUGGCUGCUGUGUCAAAUAAUAUAGAGAGUGAACACAUGUCUCUCUAUGUUGCUACUAAACCAACAUCCCCAAUUAUUGAAAUGCAGCCAAUUCCCCACGGCCUCACCAUAUCCUGGAAGAGUGAUGAUACUUCCCGUCAGGAUGGAUAUGCUGUUGUUCACAUUAGGAACGACACAGGAGAGUCAGUUACCCAUAAAACAGGGAAGGAACAAAUAGUGUUGGAAGACCUGUUCCCUGGUGCUAGAUAUGAGAUUAAGGUCUAUGCCAUAUCUCAUGGUCUGUGGAGCGAACCUCAUGCCCACUUCCAUGUAGUGUAUCCAAACCCAAUUCGAAACCUGACUAUUAGCGCCGCCACAAACACCACUGUGAUCCUUUCUUGGCUGCCUCCAAUUGAGUCGUUAUUCUCACAUUAUGAUAUAAGGUACCGCCCCGUAGAUGCAGUAGAUUGGAUUGAGUUGCCGCCCGUCAAUAAAACCUCAGUUGCCAUGGACAGCCUGCAGCCUGGAGAGCGCUAUUUGAUUGAAGUUCGUUCCAUCUCUCAUAACGUAAAAAGCUUCACCUCUGAGGAAGUUCAACAUACUGUUCCACCAAACCCAGUGAAAGGAAUCACACCAGUACUCGAUUCCCACAACAUAACCUUCGAGUGGCCCAGACCGGAUGGCAGACUAGAUACCUAUACCAUUAUCUGGUGGAGCAACUUUGCACCAGAGACAAAGCAUUUCAAGGAAAUUCCUGGAAGCCAUGCGACGGAAGGUAUAGACCGAAGAAUGUCCAUUGUGGUAGACGAGCUGAUGCCUGGAGAGCUUUACCAUUUCCAGAUCUAUACUACAGCACAUAAAGUGAAUAGUGAGGUGGUGGAGCUCUCACGCAGAACUAUGCCCCUCAUCACAUCUGACAUUAGAAUUGGGCAUCAGCCAGAGAGCAGAUCAAUGGCCAUUAUAUAUACACCAACACCAGAAUCUGCAUCUAUCUUUGACAUGUACAGAUUCAUGUUAUCCGACCCUUCCAUACCUGUGAAGGAGAAGCCUGCAGAUGAUGAGGACCGCAAGAUUGUAUUUAAUAAUCUGGUGCCUGGACGGGUGUACAAUGUCACGGCCUGGACAGUGUCAGGAGGGGUAACCAGCCUGCCCCUCAUACGGCAGGAUCAGCUCAACCCUGAGUCUGUGUCCAACAUCACUGCUGGUUACAUCUCAGAUACGGAAAUUACCUUGUCCUGGAGCAAACCGGCCGGGGAUUAUGAUGUUUUUGAGGUGCAGUAUCUCCGCGACAAUGAGCUCUUAACUACAAACACCACGAAAGAUUCAGUCACUAUCGCGAAAUUACGACCAUAUCGCAACUACACCUUCACAGUCCUCACUUGGGCAGGAAGCACUAGGCAGUCAAAUUCUGUGUCGGCAACUUUCACCACGAGGGAGAGUGUUCCUGGGAAGGUGAACAGAUUUAAAGCAACCAUAAUGAAUCCAAGUGAGAUAUCAUUAAGCUGGUCUUUGCCUGCGGAAGAACAAAACGGCAUUCUCUUGGGCUACAUGCUGAAGUAUAGAAUCAAGGGUUCCGAAGUUGCUCCCAAGAUGUACUUUGCAGCAGAUGAGGAGUCGGGCAUCAUCCAGAAUCUGAUCCCAGGAGAGACCUAUGUUUUCCAGAUUGAAGCCAUGACUAAGAUUGGCCCAGGACCCGUUAGGCACAUAGAGAAGACAAUGCCUAUUGGUGAUCCCCCUGAGCCAGGUCCUCUGGAAUUCCCCACAGAAGUGUCUCACACUGCAAACACCAUUCGCGUUCGUUACCGGAAGCACUACUUCUCCAACAAAAAUGGGCAGAUUAUAGGAUACACAGUCAUUGUAGCUGAAGAUGACACCAAGAGUUCCAGAGGGGUUGAGUUGCGUACAUGGAAGGACGUUCAGAGUUAUUCUCUGUGGCCUCCAUAUCAGGUUACAGAACGUUACUAUCCAUUUGUCAACACAUCAGUGGAAGACUUCGACAUUGGUGUCGAGGAAGAUUGUGAAAAUCAAGAUAGCUACUGUAAUGGGCCACUCAAACCAGGAAGUACAUACAAAGUUAAAAUCCGAGCUUAUACAGCAGCAAACAAGUUUGCUGACACUCACUAUAGCCAUCCAAUAACAACAGAUUCUGAAAGUGGGAAUUUAGGAUUGCUUGUGGCUAUUCCUGUGGUAUUUGUGGUGUUGGUGGUGGUAUUGGCGGUGGCUAUAAGACAGCGAAGAUCAUGCAAGUCGUCAAGAAAGUCUUCUAAUCAACUUAGCAAUAUACACCCAAUGCCUGAUUCCAUUAGAGAAACAAGUCGACCUGUAAAAUUGCAAGACUUCGUGGCCUACUUCCGAUUCAUGUCUGCUGACUCUGAGUACCGCUUCUCUGAAGAAUAUAGAGCUUUGCAACACGUUGGUCAUGACAUCCCACACAACGCUGCUGAUCUCCCGGUCAAUCGGCCCAAGAAUCGUUUCACAAACAUUUUGCCUUAUGACCACUCACGUUUCAAACUGCAGUCAACAGAUGAUGAAGAGGGAUCUGAUUACAUAAAUGCAAAUUAUGUGUCGGGCUACAACUCUCUGCGGGAAUUCAUCGUGAGCCAAGGGCCUCUCCCGUCUACAAGGGAUGACUUCUGGCGCAUGUGUUGGGAGAGCAAUUCGCGAGCCAUCGUCAUGCUGACACGGUGCACAGAAAGGGGCCGUGAGAGAUGUGAUCACUACUGGCCUGACAACAUGCAGCCAGUCUACUAUGGAGAUAUUGAAGUGACUAUUCUGAAUGAGCGCUAUUUCCCCGACUGGAAUGUUACAGAAUUCAGAGUCUGCAAGGGUGAAGUUUGCCGCAUGAUUCGCCACUUCCACUUCACGACUUGGCCAGAUUUUGGUGUACCCGAUCCUCCGCAAACGUUAGUUCGAUUUGUUCGUUUCUUCAGGGAGAGCGUUGGUGCAGAUCAGAGGCCAAUUGUCGUACAUUGCAGUGCUGGUGUUGGGCGAUCAGGAACUUUCAUUGCUUUGGACAGGAUACUGUUCAGCAGAAGAACAAAUGACUAUGUGGACAUAUAUGGUAUAGUUUAUGAGAUGAGACGACAAAGAGUUUCCAUGGUACAAACUGAGCGGCAGUAUAUAUGUAUUCACCAGUGCCUUCUCUCUGUCUUGGAAGGAACAGAAAACGAACAUCCCUUAUCUGAAAUUCAUGAUAAUCAGGGUUACGAAGGACUGAAUGGGAUAUUGGUAUCAGGAAUUUCACCGAAGCAAAGAUGAUUGCCUUUGCCUCAGCCACUGAUUUCUAUGGUUAUUGGGCAGCUGUCUCUUAGAACUUUGUGUUCACUUUGAUGACGAAGGAAUAGCCGAGUCGAGCAUGUGACAGGAGGUGUAUGGGUUGCAUUCCCUUGCAGCCUGUACAAAGUAUGGAAAUGACGUGACUCUGGCAAAAAACAGACCUUGAAGAUGCGUUUAUCAGAAGGAAUCUCCGUGGGAGUGUGUACAGAAAACUAUAUUUUUAUAGUAAUUUAUCUUAACUAUUCCAAACUUUAUGGUUUGUUAUCAGACUUCAGUCAUAUAUAUGUAUACAGUAUUAUAUGUAUACAGUGUUAUAUAUGUACUUAUGUAUGUAUGUGUAUAUAUAUACUUGUCAUCUUGUAUGUCAGUGUAUGUUUGGUGUUAACUUUAUCAAAAUAGAUUUAAUGUAAAAAUUUCAUCUCUAUUUUUCCUCAUUAUUUUUGCUGAAUUGUAGACAGUUCUUGUGCCACUUGCAAAGCAAUUACAGGAUGUAUACUGUAUGGUGUUCAAAAUUGCUUUUGAUUUUGUUAUGUAGUAGAGCACAUAAAAUUACUUCUUGAAAAAAAUGUGGUGUUUCUAUGAAGUUUGUAAAUAUAUUGUAAAGACUGUAAAAAGCAGAAAUAAGAAAUCAUAUUAUUAGCAGAUUAAUACUACCUUCUGUCCUAUACAUACGUAUUAUAAGAUUUAAUUUGUGAGGGGAAGAGUAAUUGAUAAGAUAAACCAAGGUGCUAUCAUAUCUGAGAUUUUUCUUUCAUAAGAAAGCAGGAGAAACUAAAUCCGUCCUAGUUUUAUUUCACUUUGCUUCAAUUUCCUUUUAGUGAUUAGUUUUAUAGUAUCUUUUUUACAAAUAUUUCAUAUGUAUUUUUUUUUUUUUUUUUUUUUUUUCCAUUUUUCUUCAGAUGUGUUUUUCUGUGUGUGU
This is an RNA transcript of Penaeus chinensis, 4383 nucleotides long. It is a transcript of the gene named tyrosine-protein phosphatase 10D-like, with no coding region annotated. The record is from RefSeq and is a predicted model, not a curated record. NCBI's taxonomy places the organism in Eukaryota, Metazoa, Arthropoda, Malacostraca, Decapoda, Penaeidae. The transcript has 23 exons.